This 336-nucleotide unclassified non-coding RNA is filed under the name soil metagenome. Its description in RNAcentral is "partial contains 5.8S ribosomal RNA, internal transcribed spacer 2, and large subunit ribosomal RNA". The stretch from base 1 to 120 matches the Rfam family "5.8S ribosomal RNA", at positions 35 to 154 of the family's 154-position model. The record is from RNAcentral.
GAUGAAGAACGUAGCGAAAUGCGAUAAGUAGUGUGAAUUGCAGAAUUCAGUGAAUCAUCGAAUCUUUGAACGCACAUUGCGCCCUUUGGUAUUCCUUAGGGCAUUCCUGUUCGAGCGUCAUUUGAAACCUCAAGCUCAGCUUGGUGUUGGGUGUCUGUCCCCGCCUCCGCGGGGACUCGCCUCAAAAUCAUUGGCGGCCGGUACGUUGGCUUCGAGCGCAGCAGAAACGCGAACUCGAGGCCCGGCGGAUCGGCGACCAGAAGUCUCUUCUUCACAGUUUGACCUCGGAUCAGGUAGGGAUACCCGCUGAACUUAAGCAUAUCAAUAAGCGGAGGA